This 497-nucleotide ribosomal RNA is filed under the name uncultured bacterium. RNAcentral describes it as "partial 16S ribosomal RNA". It matches the Rfam family "Bacterial small subunit ribosomal RNA", at positions 28 to 507 of the family's 1533-position model. The record is from RNAcentral.
GAUGAACGCUGGCGGCGUGCCUAAUACAUGCAAGUCGAGCGAACGGACGGGAAGCUUGCUUCUCUGAUGUUAGCGGCGGACGGGUGAGUAACACGUGGAUAACCUACCUAUAAGACUGGGAUAACUUCGGGAAACCGGAGCUAAUACCGGAUGAUAUUUUGAACCGCAUGGUUCAAAAGUGAAAGACGGUCUUGCUGUCACUUAUAGAUGGAUCCGCGCUGCAUUAGCUAGUUGGUAAGGUAAUGGCUUACCAAGGCAACGAUGCAUAGCCGACCUGAGAGGGUGAUCGGCCACACUGGAACUGAGACACGGUCCAGACUCCUACGGGAGGCAGCAGUAGGGAAUCUUCCGCAAUGGGCGAAAGCCUGACGGAGCAACGCCGCGUGAGUGAUGAAGGUCUUCGGAUCGUAAAACUCUGUUAUUAGGGAAGAACAUAUGUGUAAGUAACUGUGCACAUCUUGACGGUACCUAAUCAGAAAGCCACGGCUAACUACGUG